AUGACAAGUAAGAAAAGUAACAGACCUACAGUCACAUCAUGCACUGCUCUGCAUAUGGAAUGGGACAGGAUUUCUUGCCCUAUUUGUAUGGAGCAACCACACAAUGCUGUUUUACUUAUAUGCAGUUCGUACAAGAAUGGCUGCAGAAGUUAUAUUUGUAACACAAGCCAUCGACACUCUAAUUGCCUAGACCGGUUCAGAGAAAUGAAUGGAGAUAGUAAGGUCCGUGAUUCACACUCAACCUCUUCGGUGCUUUCAAACUCCAAUAACAGAACAGUCCAACCAAGAUCUCACUAUAGUAUGAUUUCCAGACAUUUGUUGAGCCCAAGCCUCAGAAGACACACUGACAAUGCUAAUAACCAAGAAUCUGCUAAUUCAACACCAUUCUUAGGAGAAAGUAGCAUUAUAAUGCAAGAAUGUCAUGAUGCUAUGCAAAUUUCAGUUGACAUGAAGUGUCCUCUCUGUAGAGGAUCAGUAUCAGGCUGGAUUCCUGCUGGAGAAGUCAGAAAGUAUCUGGACGAGAAGUCGAGGUGUUGCUCCCAUGAUUGCUGCAAAUUUGUUGGUAGCUAUGAGCAGCUGCGUGAGCAUGCUAGAACAGCUCACCUGCGUGCAAAGUCUGCCCUUGUAGAUAUCUCAAGGAAAAGGUCUUGGGAUCGCCUUGAACGUGAGCAGGAGUUUGGUGAUGUGAUUAGUGCAAUCAGGUCACAGAAUCCUGGUGCAGUAAUAGUUGGUGACUAUGUUAUUGAGACUAGAGAUGCAAUGUCUCCUGAUGAAGAUUCUGGGGAAGAAAGUGGUGAUGAGUGGUGGUCUCCUGCCCAAGACCAAGUAGAAUCACCGGAUAGACAUCGUGCCCCUAGGCCCUGGCUGAAUGGAAGACUAGGAUCACCUACCAUUUGGCCAGAUGGAAGGCAUGCCUUCCCUAGGUUUCUGCCACAGCCCAGGCCAUUCAGUGAUAGGCGCAGCUCACGUGCAGAUUGGCAGGGCAUCCGACGGUCAAGCGCGCAAAGCUGGCUGCGCCAGGGUUUCUCGAAUCGGCACUCUAGGCACACCAGCAGUUACCGCGGAUAUCGCCAUGGCAUCUUUGAUCGCCGUUACGCUGGAAACAAUCGUGCAGGUAUUGAUAGGAGGCAGGAUGGCCCAACAUUUCCGCCGGGAAGACGGCAGCGUUUGAGAUACACGCAAAGAAGCCAGCAUGAUCCAUGA
This 1203-nucleotide ribosomal RNA is filed under the name Triticum aestivum (bread wheat). Its description in RNAcentral is "partial small subunit ribosomal RNA". The record is from RNAcentral. Lineage: Eukaryota; Viridiplantae; Streptophyta; Magnoliopsida; Poales; Poaceae.